This 63-nucleotide transfer RNA is filed under the name Sorineuchora formosana. Its description in RNAcentral is "tRNA-Ile". Lineage: Eukaryota; Metazoa; Arthropoda; Insecta; Blattodea; Pseudophyllodromiidae. The record is from RNAcentral.
GAUGAAGUGCCUGAAAAAGGGUUACCAUGAUAAGGUAAAUCAUGUAAACAAUUACCUUCAUCA